AAAGCGCGGAAGGUCGCGGGCCCCGUCUUCCCCGGAACUUUUUAUUCCUCAGGCCCGCCCCUCUUCCCCUACCCGCUUCCCGCUCUCCGGCCCGCGGCGACCCCCUCAACCGCCGUGCCGCGCCUCGCUUCGGCCGCCGUGUUGUUGAGCGCGGAGCGCGUGAGGCCGCUGAGGAUUCCCGUCCACAUUCCAGGGGCGUGGUGAGGGUAUUCAAAUCCUGACCCCAGAAGGCGAAGAACUUCUCAAUUCGGAGACUGCGAAGAGCAUAAUACCCAGCAUUCCGGAUUCCAUAUUUCUGUCCAACAUUCAUCACUUCAUUGUAUACGUGCAGAGCAUACUAUUCAAAGAAAGGAAAGCUGACCUCAUGGAAUUUCAAACUCCCAAUCAGAUACAGCUUUUCAAACCUGCUAAUGCUUAGGAACUUUGGAAAAGCCAGCAUUCCUCACAGUGGUCCCUAGAAAAGAAGGCUGAGCUCUCUUACCUCUAUGGGGAUAUAAAGCAUGAAUCCUGGCUCUCCUGUGUGAGUCAUGCUCAUCACCCGGAUCCCAUUUGCGUAGCCCACACUCAUCUCCUGCGGAGGAAAAGGCAGCAAUCGGCCCUCGUGGGCCUCCAGGAUUACAAGACUGUGCCACCACUCCCAGCAAUGAAAUGGUUUUUUAGUCCCAGGAAAAGUACAUCAAGUACUCCUGCUACAGAAACCUUAAGGGAUCAGCCUGUUGGAAGAACAGGGUGGAAUGGUGGAACAAAGUACUUUGGCCUCUCAAAUCCAUGUUUCUCCAUCCAUCUGGCUCCUUGUGCAUCUAGCCGGUCAUACAGAGGAGAUGUGCGCAACUGCCUACCUGUCUGGAAGUCCCAACGGGGAACCUUCAGAUCGUAUAUCAGAGCUAAAAGAGACAAGAGUUUAUCAAAGUUCAAGUCACAGAUUCUGGAGCUGAAUAUCCAAUAUCUACUAAACUUGAAUCAUUUCUAUUCAUGAGAGAAUAAUUUGCAGGCUAAUGCAGCCUAAUUUGUCAGGUAUUACCUAGUAUUAACAGGCAUGAUCCAAAAGAAAGGACAACACUGUAAGACCAUAUAAAGCUAUCUACCAGCGACUCAUGGUCUCUGUUCACAAUCAUAUUUCCACUUUAGUAGGCAGAAACAAUGAAAGGAAAGUCAUAGUUCUAAACUUUGCUCAGUUCCACAACAGAGGAGAAGAUUGUCUAAGGACCCAGGUGGAUAAUAACAAUGUGAAAAAUGGUACUUGA
Marmota flaviventris (yellow-bellied marmot) is the source of this 1244-nucleotide long non-coding RNA. RefSeq lists it as uncharacterized. The record is from RefSeq and is a predicted model, not a curated record. NCBI's taxonomy places the organism in Eukaryota, Metazoa, Chordata, Mammalia, Rodentia, Sciuridae.